RNAcentral lists this ribosomal RNA (496 nucleotides) under uncultured bacterium. RNAcentral's name for it is "partial 16S ribosomal RNA". It matches the Rfam family "Bacterial small subunit ribosomal RNA", at positions 28 to 523 of the family's 1533-position model. The record is from RNAcentral.
GAUGAACGCUGGCGGCGUGCUUAACACAUGCAAGUCGAACGGAGAGAAAGUGCUUGCACUUUCUCUUAGUGGCGGACGGGUGAGUAACGCGUGGGUAACCUGCCCUAUGCAGGGGGAUAACAACGAGAAAUCGUUGCUAAUACCGCAUAAUAAAGAAGAGCUGCAUGGCUUUUCUUUCAAAGAUUUAUCGGCAUAGGAUGGACCCGCGUUGGAUUAGCUAGUUGGUGAGAUAACAGCCCACCAAGGCGACGAUCCAUAGCCGGCCUGAGAGGGUGAACGGCCACACUGGGACUGAGACACGGCCCAGACUCCUACGGGAGGCAGCAGUGGGGAAUAUUGCACAAUGGGCGCAAGCCUGAUGCAGCGACGCCGCGUGAAGGAUGAAGGUCUUCGGAUUGUAAACUUCUAUCAGCAGGGAAGAAGGAGUGUCUUCGGACACUCUUGACGGUACCUGACUAAGAAGCACCGGCUAACUACGUGCCAGCAGCCGCAGUAA